Molecule: non-coding RNA, 136 nt
Organism: Hordeum vulgare subsp. vulgare (domesticated barley)
Lineage: Eukaryota; Viridiplantae; Streptophyta; Magnoliopsida; Poales; Poaceae
Source: Rfam
UAUAUACUCCCUCCGUUUCAAAAUUAUUGUCUUGUAUUUGUCUAGAUAUGGAUGUAUCUAGUCACCUGUUAGUAUUUAGAUGCAUCCAUAUCUAGAAAAAUGUAAGACAAGAAUUUUGGGACGGAGGAAGUAUAUC